UACGUAGGUGGCAAGCGUUGUCCGGAUUUAUUGGGUUUAAAGGGUGCGUAGGCGGCCCUAUAAGUCAGUGGUGAAAUACUCCAGCUUAACUGGAGGGGUGCCAUUGAUACUGUAGGGCUUGAGUGAAGUCGAGGUAGGCGGAAUUGACGGUGUAGCGGUGAAAUGCUUAGAUAUCGUCAAGAACACCGAUAGUGCAGACAGCUUACUAGGCUUCAACUGACGCUGAGGCACGAAAGUGUGGGGAUCAAACAGG
RNAcentral lists this ribosomal RNA (253 nucleotides) under uncultured bacterium. RNAcentral describes it as "partial 16S ribosomal RNA". It matches the Rfam family "Bacterial small subunit ribosomal RNA", at positions 524 to 776 of the family's 1533-position model. The record is from RNAcentral.